CUUCUCAUCUUUGGAGGCUGAAGUAGCUUAGAGGUAUAAAGGGGUUUCCCCUGGAUCCUGGAAUGACAAAAGGUUCCAAACGUGAUAAAGGACUUCAAUGGGAUUGGACACGAAGAGGCACGGUGAUUUUUCUGACAAGAUAUAUGGCACUAGAUAUCCACGGCAAUCUCAGUAUCUGCCACCUUGUGAUUUCUUUCCCCCUCAACUUUGUGCUGAGAAUGGGAGAAAAGGAAUGAGUAAAGGGAAAAAUGGGAGAAAGGAGGAAGGGAAGGAGGGAGG
Molecule: long non-coding RNA, 279 nt
Filed under: Homo sapiens (human)
Lineage: Eukaryota; Metazoa; Chordata; Mammalia; Primates; Hominidae
Description: HSALNT0215453
Source: RNAcentral